Molecule: ribosomal RNA, 583 nt
Filed under: uncultured bacterium
Lineage: Bacteria
Description: partial 16S ribosomal RNA
Rfam family: Bacterial small subunit ribosomal RNA
Source: RNAcentral
CUAAGAAUAUUCCGCAAUGGACGGAAGUCUGACGGAGCGACGCCGCGUGGAUGAAGAAGGCCGAAAGGUUGUAAAGUUCUUUUGCUGGGGAAGAAUAACCGCAGGAGGGAAUGCCUGUGGGAUGACAAGAACCGGCGAAUAAGCCCCGGCCAACUACGUGCCAGCAGCCGCGGUAACACGUAGGGGGGCGAGCGUUGUUCGGAAUUACUGGGCGUAAAGGGCAUGUAGGCGGCUUGGAAAGCCUGGCGUGAAAGUCUGCAGCUUAACUGCAGGGGUGCGCUGGGAACUGCUGAGCUUGAGUGACGGAGAGGGAGCUGGAAUUCCUGGUGUAGGGGUGAAAUCUGUAGAUAUCAGGAAGAACACCGAUGGCGAAGGCAAGCUCCUGGCCGAUGACUGACGCUGAGGUGCGAAAGUGUGGGGGAUCAAACAGGAUUAGAUACCCUGGUAGUCCACACAGUCAACGAUGUGCACUAGGUGCUGGGGCGGUAGCUUCGGUGCCGGAGCGAACGUGGUAAGUGCACCGCCUGGGGAGUAUGCUCGCAAGGGUGAAACUCAAAGGAAUUGACGGGGGUCAUACUGUUUU